GACGAACGCUGGCGGCGUGCUUAACACAUGCAAGUCGAACGGUAAGGCCCUUCGGGGUACACGAGUGGCGAACGGGUGAGUAACGCGUGAGUAACCUGCCCUUCACUCUGGGAUAACAGUUGGAAACGGCUGCUAAUACCGGAUAUUCAGCUCCUGUCGCAUGGUGGGGGUUGGAAAGUUUUGGUGGUGGAGGAUGGGCUCGCGUCCUAUCAGCUUGUUGGUGGGGUGAUGGCCUACCAAGGCGUCGACGGGUAGCCGGCCUGAGAGGGCGACCGGCCACAUUGGGACUGAGAUACGGCCCAAACUCCUACGGGAGGCAGCGGUGGGGAAUAUUGCACAAUGGGCGGAAGCCUGAUGCAGCAACGCCGCGUGCGGGAUGACGGCCUUCGGGUUGUAAACCGCUUUCAGCAGGGACGAAGCGCAAGUGACGGUACCUGCAGAAGAAGCACCGGCUAACUACGUG
RNAcentral lists this ribosomal RNA (463 nucleotides) under uncultured bacterium. RNAcentral's name for it is "partial 16S ribosomal RNA". It matches the Rfam family "Bacterial small subunit ribosomal RNA", at positions 28 to 507 of the family's 1533-position model. The record is from RNAcentral.